Corylus avellana is the source of this 153-nucleotide non-coding RNA. The record is from RefSeq and is a predicted model, not a curated record. Lineage: Eukaryota; Viridiplantae; Streptophyta; Magnoliopsida; Fagales; Betulaceae.
GUUAACCGGAACCGGGUCCGGGUCCGGGUCCGGUUAAGGGCAUUUCGAUUUCGUCUCCGCAAUCCAAGGGUGUUCCUCCAUCAUCAGUCGCUGAUUCUAAUGGCUAUAGAGAUAAGAGGGAUAGAAGCAGAGAUGACACAUUGACCACUGUCA